RNAcentral lists this ribosomal RNA (494 nucleotides) under uncultured bacterium. RNAcentral describes it as "partial 16S ribosomal RNA". It matches the Rfam family "Bacterial small subunit ribosomal RNA", at positions 29 to 505 of the family's 1533-position model. The record is from RNAcentral.
AUGAACGCUGGCGGCGUGCCUAAUACAUGCAAGUCGAGCGAACAGACGAGGAGCUUGCUCCUCUGACGUUAGCGGCGGACGGGUGAGUAACACGUGGAUAACCUACCUAUAAGACUGGGAUAACUUCGGGAAACCGGAGCUAAUACCGGAUAAUAUAUUGAACCGCAUGGUUCAAUAGUGAAAGACGGUUUUGCUGUCACUUAUAGAUGGAUCCGCGCCGCAUUAGCUAGUUGGUAAGGUAACGGCUUACCAAGGCAACGAUGCGUAGCCGACCUGAGAGGGUGAUCGGCCACACUGGAACUGAGACACGGUCCAGACUCCUACGGGAGGCAGCAGUAGGGAAUCUUCCGCAAGGGGCGAAAGCCUGACGGAGCAACGCCGCGUGAGUGAUGAAGGUCUUCGGAUCGUAAAACUCUGUUAUUAGGGAAGAACAAAUGUGUAAGUAACUAUGCACGUCUUGACGGUACCUAAGCAGAAAGCCACGGCUAACUACG